This is a long non-coding RNA of Hevea brasiliensis (rubber tree), 2430 nucleotides long. RefSeq lists it as uncharacterized. Lineage: Eukaryota; Viridiplantae; Streptophyta; Magnoliopsida; Malpighiales; Euphorbiaceae. The record is from RefSeq and is a predicted model, not a curated record. The transcript has 3 exons.
UAUAAAAAAAAAAAAAUUUAUUCAAAAACGGGAGGAGGAACCCCCCAUUCUCCCUUCUCUCCUCUUCUCCCCCUCUUCUUCUUCUUCCUUUCUCCAGUGACCGGCUAGCGACCUCCCAAGCGGCUCCCCACCGGCCGGCGAUCCUCCGGCAACGGCCAGACCACUAGAAACGGCGGCAAGAGAGGGAGAAGAGAGAGAAAACGCGCGCAUAGUGGGCAGCGGCUUUCCUGCGCGAUUCCGGCUUCGUCCGACGUCCGAUCGAGGCGAUUCCGGUGGCGUUGGAAAGCUUGUUCCGAGAGCUUUCUUUUGACACCAAUUUUGAAGCAAAUGGAAGUCGGAUGAGUGAGAUAUGGAGGAGAGAAGUUUCAGGUUUUUCAAGCUUUUUCGUCAGAUCUACGACGAUCCGACUGUUGGAUCGACGAUCUGAGACCACUUAUGGACUGAGGAAGAGGAGAGGAACAUGGUGGUAUGAUCAGAUCCGGCAAAUGUCGCCGGCGACCGGCGGCCGACCACUGUGCGCGGUGGUUCCGGCGGUGGCUCCGGUGGGCUAUGGAGAUGAUUCGACUUCCAGAGGCUUCCUCAUAAAUUUUUGGAAUUUUUGAGACACAGAUAAACUUCGGGUGAUCGAUGUCAGCUAUUUUUCUGCAUCCAGCAGCCACAAUAGUCAUCGGUGUACUGCCACAGGAGGAGAUAUUUUUCAGAAUAACUUGUCCCUUUCCUCACAGGUUAUGAAAAGAUUACUUAAUUGUAUUAUUAUUAUCUAAAUUUGUAAUUUAGAACUCCGCAUGUACUAGUAGUAGCAUUAAUCCUGUCAGGGAUUGCAUGAACUUAAGUUUUUGUAUUAACAAAUGAAAAUUUUUUAUGAGUUUUUAAAUAGUUUGUAAAUGGUGUAACAGGGUUGAGCUGGGCUCCCCUAAUUUUAGUUUCUGAUAAUUACUGGGCUAAUUUGGCCUGAAAUAAAGUUAUAACAGCUUAAUUUAAAUUAUUUUAUAUGCAUAUUGGGCCUAAAUUAUGGGCCUACUCAUGGGUUGAGGAAUAGUUAGGCUUACUACCGGCCUCGGGGGCUUUAGGCUGGCCCAGGUUCUAGUGCCGGUCCGGCCCAUAGGUUGGGUCGUGACAAAGUUGGUAUCAGAGCUUAGGCUCUAGAUUCAUGGGAAAUAAAAUACUUGGGAGUGUAAAAGGAGUCUUGUUAGGAUGUUACAUGCGGAGUAUAGGAUUCUGUUUCGUCUUUUUCUGUAAUUCCUUGCUUCUAGAUUCUGCGUUAUACCUCGGGAAAUAUAAGAGUACCUCAGUUAGUGUCUUAAUUUUCAUGGAGUACAUAGAAAUGUGAAACAAAGUUAGCAGACAUGUUGAGGUCUGUCAUGAGGAUACGUACUCCAAGAAAUGUUAUGUUUCUGUCUGUAUGGGUUUAAAUGGUGUGCCCAUUUUGUGUAAGGCACGACUACAUAAAGGUGAGUCUUGAAAGUACAGUUGCCCUAGAUAAGGAUGAGGAUACCACUGCUGGCAGUCAUCAGUGGAUGACCCAGUCAGAAUAAGUUUAUGAUAAUAGAAAAUUCAAGAGAUAUAAGAAAUUGGGAGACCUAGUCUGUCAGGACAUAUCGUAGUAACUAUACAAUGUUCUCGAUGUCUGCUCUGUAACCUGCAGAUUACAGUACUGACAUGAGAUUAUUGUGUAGAGCUGCGUGCAUCCCCGUGGUGCUCCAUAAUGAGGGUGUCUGAGAUGGCUUCUGUUUUGGUACAGUUAUGCCAGAACAGAGUUCUAUAUUUGCAGAAGAGUUGGGAACUCCUAGUUAGGGGUCUAGAGUUAGAAUAUUGAAAGGUCACAGUUGAGUGGUAACUAGAGUCAGUGACUCAGUUACCCUAGCAUGAGCUAGAGUUACAGUAAGAGUUGCCAUCAGACCGGAGGUUUCGGACUAGUUGCAAAGUAAAGGUGACACCUAUAGAGUGAGACCAUCUAGUCUUCGGUAUGGAAUUUUGGAUGGUUUUUGCAGAACGAUAGAUGUUUUGCUUAGAAUUUAGUGAGAAUAGAAUACCUUGUGUGUAUUAGCAAGGUGUAAAGUAUAACUCUACUACCUAGAGAAGGUCGAAACUAUGAAUUUAUGAUUCACAGAGCUAUGAUAUGAUAAGAGAGACAUUAAUUGACAUGGUUUUGAGCAAGGUGGUAAAUGUAGUACCUUUAUUGCAGCAAGUUAGGGUAUAGUCCUAUCUUUUUAGGAGGGAUCGAAGGUUAUUACUAAUAAUGGUGACCAACAAAAUAGUGCCUCAGAUGGGACUGUAGAGUGUGGUAGAGAGUAGUUGGCUCGGGUAUCCUACAUAAGAUACAAGUUCUAUUAUAGGAAUCAUAUAUAAUCAGAUCAAGAUGGAUGUAAAUCCUUUGAAUUGGAUGACGAGUUUGGGUGCCCAGAAUCUUAAGUUUUGGCUAAUUGAGUA